RNAcentral lists this ribosomal RNA (253 nucleotides) under uncultured bacterium. Its description in RNAcentral is "partial 16S ribosomal RNA". It matches the Rfam family "Archaeal small subunit ribosomal RNA", at positions 474 to 727 of the family's 1478-position model. The record is from RNAcentral.
UACCAGCCCCCCGAGUGGUCGGGGCGUUUAUUGGGCCUAAAGCAUCCGUAGCCGGUUCUACAAGUCUUCCGUUAAAUCCACCUGCUUAACAGAUGGGCUGCGGAAGAUACUAUGGAGCUAGGAGGCGGGAGAGGCAAGCGGUACUCGAUGGGUAGGGGUAAAAUCCGUUGAUCCAUUGAAGACCACCAGUGGCGAAGGCGGCUUGCCAGAACGCGCUCGACGGUGAGGGAUGAAAGCUGGGGGAGCAAACCGG